Molecule: ribosomal RNA, 497 nt
Filed under: uncultured bacterium
Lineage: Bacteria
Description: partial 16S ribosomal RNA
Rfam family: Bacterial small subunit ribosomal RNA
Source: RNAcentral
GAUGAACGCUGGCGGCGUGCCUAAUACAUGCAAGUCGAGCGAACGGACGAGAAGCUUGCUUUUCUGAUGUUAGCGGCGGACGGGUGAGUAACACGUGGAUAACCUACCUAUAAGACUGGGAUAACUUCGGGAAACCGGAGCUAAUACCGGAUAAUAUUUUGAACCGCAUGGUUCAAAAGUGAAAGACGGUCUUGCUGUCACUUAUAGAUGGAUCCGCGCUGCAUUAGCUAGUUGGUAAGGUAACGGCUUACCAAGGCAACGAUGCAUAGCCGACCUGAGAGCGUGAUCGGCCACACUGGAACUGAGACACGGUCCAGACUCCUACGGGAGGCAGCAGUAGGGAAUCUUCCGCAAAGGGCGAAAGCCUGACGGAGCAACGCCGCGUGAGUGAUGAAGGUCUUCGGAUCGUAAAACUCUGUUAUUAGGGAAGAACAUAUGUGUAAGUAACUGUGCACAUCUUGACGGUACCUAAUCAGAAAGCCACGGCUAACUACGUG